AAAAAAACAGAAACAGAGAAAGGAGGGGGCAGAGGAAGGGAGGGAGGAAAAAAGAGUCAGACAGAGAGAUAGACUGAUAGACAGAGACAGAGAUAGAGUUUUAGAGAAAGAAAGUAUUUAAUUAUCAUCCUGAGAUUGUAAGUGCGUUUUAACUCACACUUAUAUUCCCCUAGCAUCUAACACAGAACACAUAAUAAGCCAGAAUAAAUGUAUAUUCAUUUGAUUGGAAUUCCUUAACCAUUCACCUCAUAUACAAUGUAGGCCUGUGUAGGUGCUCAGUAAAUUCUUGUGGAACAGUAUGGUGCACAGGACAAAUGCUGCAGUCAGAUUCAGGGAACUGGAGUUUGGAUCCUCAGCUUGCCUCUGCUACUUCCUAUCCCAGUGGUUUCAUUGGUGUACGACAAUGAGAAAACAACCUUUACUAAUAAACUUCAGUGCCUACUCUGAAGUUUAUAGUCUUUGAGAUUUGGUGGGACAAUGAGAGGGAUUGCUUUCCCUGGCAUUAUUGUAUUCACUGUUCACAGAAUCACAGAAGCCUUUAUUUGGAAGAAAUCUCAUCAAUCAUUAGGUAAAACCCAUAAAUAUAGCACUAGAUCAUUCUCCACCAAUGGUUAUCCUGUAUAUACUUGAAAAUCUCUAAAGAAAAGGAAUUCUUCACUUCCAGAGGAAGCUAUUUAACUUUGGGGUGAUAAUAACUACUAGGAAGUUUUUUCCUCAUAUCAAGUAUAAAUUUUCUUCUUUACAACUUCCACUACCUAGUCCUCAUUCCUCUCCUGGUUCCUCUUCUGACCUUGUCUCCAUGUCUCUUCUGCCUUCUUAUCCUGAAACUUCCACCUGCCCUUGAGGUACUUCCUCUCCCAUUGCUGAGUUCAUUUCAGGACUUCCAUUUUGGGGACAGAUCUAAGAUGGUCUUUUAUUUUUCUCAUGGCUUUGCUUGGGCUCUGUGGGCUUUUCUCUCUCUUUUUUUUAGUUUUUAAUUUUCAAAAUAUAUGCAUAGAUAAUUUUCAACAUUCACUUUUGCAAAACCUUGUGUUUCAAAUUUUUUUCUCCUUCCUUUCCUCUUACCCCAUUCCUUAGACAAGUAAUUCAAUAUAUGUUAAACAUGCAAUUAUUGAUAGGAAAACUGGAAAAUAAUAUGUCAGAAACUUGUCAUGGACCUACACUAUACCACCUACCCCAAACCAAAAUAAAAUCAAACUAGGUACAUGAUUUGGGCAUAGAGGAUGAUACCAUAAAUAAAUCAGAAGAGCAAUUUACCCAUCAGAUCUUUGGAGAAGGGAGGAAUUUCUGACCAAAGAAAAAUUAGAGAACAUUAUAAAAGGCAAAAUGGACAACUUUGAUUACAUUAAAUUAAAAAGGUUUUGCACAAACAAAACCAACAGAAACAAGAUUAAAAGAGAAGUACAAAGCUGGGAAAAAAUCUUUACAAGUAAUGUUUGUGAUAAAGAUUUCAUUUCUUGAAUGUAAACUGCUUGCAUUUUUGUUUUUCUUCCCGGGUUAUUUAUAGCUUCUGAAUCCAAUUCUCCCUGUGCAACAAGAGAACUGUUUGGUUCUGCAUACAUAUAUUGUAUCUAGGAUAUACUGUGACAUAUUUAACAUGUAUAGGACUGCUUGCCAUCUGGGGGAGGGGGUGGAGGGAGGGAGGGGAAAAAUCGGAACAGAAGUGAGUGCAAGGGAUAAUGUAAAAAAUUACCCUGGCAUGGGUUCUGUCAAUAAAAAGUUAUUUAAAAACAAGAUUUCAUUUCUAAAAUAUAUAAAGAACUAAGUCAAAUUUAUAAGAAUACAAGUCAUUCCCCAAUUGAUAAAUGAUCAAAAAAUAUGAACAAUUUUCAGGUUGUGAAAUUAAAGCCAUCUAUAGGCAUUUGAAAAAGUGCUCUAAGUCACUAUUGAUUAGAGAAAUGCAAAUUAAGACAAUUCUGAUGAUCACCUCACACAUAUCAGAUUGGCUAAGAUGAUAGGAAAAGAUAAUGAUUAAUGGAGUGAUGUGGGAAUUGUGCAAUGCUAAUGCAUUAUUGGUGGAGUUGUGAAAUUAUCCAACCAUUUUGGAGAGCAAUCUGAUUCUAUGCCCAAAGGAGUAUCAAACUAUGAUCCAGCACUAUCACUCAGGUGCAAAAUGUUUAUAGCAGCUCUUUUUGUAGUAGCAAAGAAAUGGAAAAUGAAUGAAUGCCCAUCAAUUGGGGAAUGGCUGAAUAAGUUGUGGUACAUGAAAAUAAUGGAAUAUAAUCAGAGUCCCAAAAAACUAUUUUAAUGACCUAGAAAAAAUAACAACAAAGUUCAUAUGGAAAAACAAAAGGUCAAGAAUUGCAAGGGAAUUAAUGAAAAAAAAAUCAAAUGAAGGUGGCUUAGCUGUACCAGAUCUAAAAUUAUAUUAUAGAGCAGCAGUUACCAAAACUAUUUGGUAUUGGUUAAGGAAUAGAUUAGUUGAUCAGUGGAAUAGAUUAGGUUCAAGGGAUAAAACAGUCAACAAAUAUAGCAACC
Long non-coding RNA from Sarcophilus harrisii (Tasmanian devil), 2478 nucleotides. The record is from Ensembl. Lineage: Eukaryota; Metazoa; Chordata; Mammalia; Dasyuromorphia; Dasyuridae.